UCUUCCUACGGGGCGCAGCAGUAGGGAAUCUUCCACAAUGGACGAAAGUCUGAUGGAGUAACGCCGCGUGAGUGAAGAAGUAUUUCGGUAUGUAAAGCUCUAUCAGCAGGGAAGAAAAUGACGGUACCUGAGUAAGAAGCCCCGGCUAACUACGUGCCAGCAGCCGCGGUAAUACGUAGGGGGCAAGCGUUAUCCGGAUUUACUGGGUGUAAAGGGAGCGUAGACGGCGAUGCAAGUCUGAAGUGAAAGCCCGGGGCUCAACCCCGGGACUGCUUUGGAAACUGUAUGGCUGGAGUGCUGGAGAG
This 305-nucleotide ribosomal RNA is filed under the name uncultured bacterium. RNAcentral's name for it is "bacterial SSU rRNA". It matches the Rfam family "Bacterial small subunit ribosomal RNA", at positions 334 to 656 of the family's 1533-position model. The record is from RNAcentral.